UAAAAGAUGGUUAGUGCUUUCAGCCU
RNAcentral lists this non-coding RNA (26 nucleotides) under Mus musculus (house mouse). The record is from RNAcentral. Lineage: Eukaryota; Metazoa; Chordata; Mammalia; Rodentia; Muridae.